GGUUAAGCGACUAAGCGUACACGGUGGAUGCCCUGGCAGUCAGAGGCGAUGAAGGGCGUGCUAAUCUGCGAUAAGCGCCGGUAAGGUGAUAUGAACCGUUAUAACCGGCGAUACCCGAAUGGGGAAACCCAGUGUGAUUCGUCACACUAUCAUUAACUGAAUCCAUAGGUUAAUGAGGCGAACCGGGGGAACUGAAACAUCUAAGUACCCCGAGGAAAAGAAAUCAACCGAGAUUCCCCCAGUAGCGGCGAGCGAACGGGGAGGAGCCCAGAGCCUGAAUCAGCAUGUGUGUUAGUGGAAGCGUCUGGAAAGGCGCGCGAUACAGGGUGACAGCCCCGUACACAAAAGCGCAUGUGCUGUGAGCUCGAUGAGUAGGGCGGGACACGUGGUAUCCUGUCUGAAUAUGGGGGGACCAUCCUCCAAGGCUAAAUACUCCUGACUGACCGAUAGUGAACCAGUACCGUGAGGGAAAGGCGAAAAGAACCCCGGCGAGGGGAGUGAAAAAGAACCUGAAACCGUGUACGUACAAGCAGUGGGAGCACCCUUUGGGGUGUGACUGCGUACCUUUUGUAUAAUGGGUCAGCGACUUAUAUUCUGUAGCAAGGUUAACCGAAUAGGGGAGCCGUAGGGAAACCGAGUCUUAACCGGGCGUUAAGUUGCAGGGUAUAGACCCGAAACCCGGUGAUCUAGCCAUGGGCAGGUUGAAGGUUGGGUAACACUAACUGGAGGACCGAACCGACUAAUGUUGAAAAAUUAGCGGAUGACCUGUGGCUGGGGGUGAAAGGCCAAUCAAACCGGGAGAUAGCUGGUUCUCCCCGAAAGCUAUUUAGGUAGCGCCUCGUGAAUUCAUCUCCGGGGGUAGAGCACUGUUUCGGCUAGGGGGCCAUCCCGGCUUACCAACCCGAUGCAAACUGCGAAUACCGGAGAAUGUUAUCACGGGAGACACACGGCGGGUGCUAACGUCCGUCGUGAAGAGGGAAACAACCCAGACCGCCAGCUAAGGUCCCAAAGUCAUGGUUAAGUGGGAAACGAUGUGGGAAGGCCCAGACAGCCAGGAUGUUGGCUUAGAAGCAGCCAUCAUUUAAAGAAAGCGUAAUAGCUCACUGGUCGAGUCGGCCUGCGCGGAAGAUGUAACGGGGCUAAACCAU
Molecule: ribosomal RNA, 1148 nt
Filed under: Salmonella enterica subsp. enterica
Lineage: Bacteria; Pseudomonadati; Pseudomonadota; Gammaproteobacteria; Enterobacterales; Enterobacteriaceae
Also listed under: 1 other name
Description: partial 23S ribosomal RNA
Rfam family: Bacterial large subunit ribosomal RNA
Source: RNAcentral